Molecule: long non-coding RNA, 820 nt
Organism: Frieseomelitta varia
Lineage: Eukaryota; Metazoa; Arthropoda; Insecta; Hymenoptera; Apidae
Exons: 3
Source: RefSeq, a predicted model, not a curated record
CACUCUCUCGCCCCCUACAGGUACAACAGCCUAGAAAAAUUGGCCAGGUUUCUCAACGUGCGAAUUGUUGGCCGGAUAAAUAUUAUCACUGAUAACAUGUUAUACCUAUGUACGUAUAUUGCGAUACAAUUUCAUGGACCAACAAAAAAUUGAACGGUAUAUAGCAAAAUUUUCCGCAACUAUUUCUAUGUUCGAUUACUUUCGAGUUCAUUACAACCUAUACCUCCUGUGUUUUGUUUCACGAACUGACAAUAUGUUAAUUAUAUGAAUUUUCUAAAAAUAGUUUUCAGCUUCUUAAAUACUGGAUUUUCGCCAAUAUUACAACAUAAAUAUUAACUUAAAGAGGAUAACAGGCAGUCGAUAUCUUUUUAAUAUCGGUAUUAGAACCGAAAUUCUAUUAAGAAAUAGGGAAGUAUGCCAUUGAAAAGUAUGCCGUAAUUAUUAUUCAUGAAGUGUUAUUACUGUUAUGUUUGCUUUGAAAAACCGGAAGUAUAUUUAAUUCGCGGUGUGUGCACUGAAAAGAGGAAAGAAAUUUUUAAAAUGCGUUAUAUACAUUGUGAUAUACUAAGCUUUAACACAAAUAUAUUACACAUUCUCCGACGUAUGUUAUUUUCACACAUUUUUACCUGGAACCUAAUGAUCGGUGGAAAUGCCUCCUCUGUCGUCAUUUCCAAAUAAUAAACUGUGUAUUUCGUUUGACAGACUUUACGUGUACGUAUACUUCCUACGCUCCAUACUGAAAACAAACUAAUUGAAAAACUUGGAGUCAAGGAAGUUACAUGAUGCCACCACUUUGGAGGAAUGUACAGUAUUUCUCCAG